This 1122-nucleotide long non-coding RNA is filed under the name Cyanistes caeruleus (blue tit). Its description in RNAcentral is "lncRNA (ENSCCEG00000023779.1)". The record is from RNAcentral. Lineage: Eukaryota; Metazoa; Chordata; Aves; Passeriformes; Paridae.
GUGCUUUUUUCUUCUAUGUGUCAUUUUUUUUGGUUUAUGUAAUAAAAGCCAAAUAUAACUUUCCCUUUUGUUUUUAAUUUUUUUUGUUAAUUUUUAUUUUUAGACCACAGCAGGGAAGAGAAAGUGAAUGGGUAAAGACAGAGAAGUGGAGAAGAAAGUAAGCUUAAUUCAGAGGCUGACUGAUAUUUGGAGAUUGGACUUUUCCUGCAGCUGAAAAACAGAGUAGCUACAAAUACACACCUUGUGUCCAAGGUAACAGAAAGGAAGCACCACAUGAAAAGGAGCAGGCAGGGAGAAGACUUGGGAGCACAGAGUCAGGAAAAUAGUUCUGUGUAGGGAGUCUGCAAUAUGACAGAUAGUCCCACAUGGGUUUCUUUUUUUCCAGAUCAGCACAGCAAAUUGGACAGCAGCGAAAAAAAACCAGUUAUCAUUUACCAUGUUUGGCAGAUGCAAGAAUGCUCUGCAGGAUGUGCAUGAGAGCCCAGCGUAUCAAGCCAAGCUCAGAGCUUGUGGCAUCUUUACCCAUCUAUCUGUUCCUAGGAACAAUGAAGGAGCAGAACUUCCAUUCUGUGGUAUGACAUUAAUGUCUUCUGGCCUCAUCUGACUCCUUCCGACUAUCCAUUAUCUUCUUAGCACCACAAUUCCUAUUUCAGUCGUUUUCCCUGCAUUUUUUCUCUUUCCAUGCCCCUUGUCAGCCAUUCUCACAGGCCACUGAUGAUGUUUCUGUCACAGGUUUCUUCACAGAACCACUCUCUGAUCCAGACUCUUGAGAUGCCCAGGCCAUCUCCUGUACCAGGCCACAGUCCUCACAUCUCCACCACACAUCCAUCCUGCCUAGGCAACACUGCUGGCUCAGUGCACUCCUCCCUGCCAUCUCCUCCUGCCUGACCCUUGCCCAGUCCAUUCUCCAGCUGCUUCUCCUCCUCAAAUGCACCAGAGUGAGUCCACAGACACGACUGAGUCACACGUGCUCUUUACACCAGCUGCUCACACGUGGAAAGUCAGGCACAUGCAGGACAGUUUUCAGCCUUGGGUAUUGAAGCUGCAGUGUGGUAACAGUCACUGCCCAGGGGCAGAGAGUGACUCUGACUCAGAGUGUGGCUGAGUUUUAGGGCCUAGGGA